This 352-nucleotide transfer-messenger RNA is filed under the name Acidobacteriota bacterium. Its description in RNAcentral is "Acidobacteria bacterium (soil metagenome) transfer-messenger RNA". It matches the Rfam family "transfer-messenger RNA". From Rfam's summary of the family: Bacterial tmRNA, also known as 10Sa RNA or SsrA, is named for its dual tRNA and mRNA-like properties. Its role is to liberate the mRNA from a stalled ribosome. To accomplish this part of the tmRNA is used as a reading frame that ends in a translation stop signal. Lineage: Bacteria; Pseudomonadati; Acidobacteriota. The record is from RNAcentral.
GGGGGCGACCUAGAUUCGACGGAGAUACGGUUUCGUAGGAUGCGUGCCGAGGACCAUCAACCUCGACAAAAGAUGGAACAACCCUAACUGCAGAUACGCAGUUCGCUCUCGCAGCCUAAGAACCUGUGAGCGUCCAUUUCGGCCAGCCUGCGGGCCGGGGUCUGGAUGUCAUUUCAGCAGGCUGGUUGCUGACGGCUACCUCGAACGUCAGCGACGAGACUUUUCGGGGCGGGUGCCCGACGGUUUUUCCGUCUCUUCACGCCGGGCGCGACACUUCAGAGGCGGAUACGCAUCGUAGAUUCCUGCGAGGAUGUACUUUCGGACGCGGGUGCGAAUCCCGCCGCCUCCAUAC